CUACGUGCCAGCAGCCGCGGUAAUACGUAGGUGGCAAGCGUUGUCCGGAUUUAUUGGGCGUAAAGCGAGCGCAGGCGGUUCCUUAAGUCUGAUGUGAAAGCCCCCGGCUCAACCGGGGAGGGUCAUUGGAAACUGGGGAACUUGAGUGCAGAAGAGGAGAGUGGAAUUCCAUGUGUAGCGGUGAAAUGCGUAGAUAUAUGGAGGAACACCAGUGGCGAAGGCGACUCUCUGGUCUGUAACUGACGCUGAGGCUCGAAGGCGUGGGUAGCAAACAGGAUUAGAUACCCUGGUAGUCCACGCCGUAAACGAUGAGUGCUAGGUGUUAGGCCCUUUCCGGGGCUUAGUGCCGCAGCUAACGCAUUAAGCACUCCGCCUGGGGAGUACGACCGCAAGGUUGAAACUCAAAGGAAUUGACGGGGGCCCGCACAAGCGGUGGAGCAUGUGGUUUAAUUCGAAGCAACGCGAAGAACCUUACCAGGUCUUGACAUCCCUCUGACCGCUCUAGAGAUAGAGUUUUC
This 518-nucleotide ribosomal RNA is filed under the name uncultured bacterium. Its description in RNAcentral is "bacterial SSU rRNA". It matches the Rfam family "Bacterial small subunit ribosomal RNA", at positions 501 to 1016 of the family's 1533-position model. The record is from RNAcentral.